ACGGGAGGCAGCAGUGGGGAAUAUUGGACAAUGGGGGAAACCCUGAUCCAGCGACGCCGCGUGAGUGAAGAAGUAUUUCGGUAUGUAAAGCUCUAUCAGCAGGAAAGAAAAUGACGGUACCUGACUAAGAAGCCCCGGCUAACUACGUGCCAGCAGCCGCAGUAAUACGUAGGGGGCAAGCGUUAUCCGGAUUUACUGGGUGUAAAGGGAGCGUAGACGGCUUUGCAAGUCUGAAGUGAAAGCCCGGGGCUCAACCCCGGAACUGCUUUGGAAACUGUAGAGCUGGAGUGCAGGAGAGGUAAGCGGAAUUCCUAGUGUAGCGGUGAAAUGCGUAGAUAUUAGGAGGAACACCAGUGGCGAAGGCGGCUUACUGGACGGUAACUGACGUUGAGGCUCGAAAGCGUGGGGAGCAAACAGGAUUAGAUACCCUGGUA
This 434-nucleotide ribosomal RNA is filed under the name uncultured Clostridium sp. RNAcentral describes it as "partial 16S ribosomal RNA". It matches the Rfam family "Bacterial small subunit ribosomal RNA", at positions 341 to 792 of the family's 1533-position model. Lineage: Bacteria; Bacillati; Bacillota; Clostridia; Eubacteriales; Clostridiaceae. The record is from RNAcentral.